Molecule: ribosomal RNA, 254 nt
Filed under: uncultured bacterium
Lineage: Bacteria
Description: partial 16S ribosomal RNA
Rfam family: Bacterial small subunit ribosomal RNA
Source: RNAcentral
UACAGAGGUCUCGAGCGUUGUUCGGAUUCAUUGGGCGUAAAGGGUGCGUAGGUGGCGCUGUAAGUCGGGUGUGAAAUCCUGAGGCUUAACCUCGGAACUGCAUUCGAUACUGCGGCGCUUGAGGACUGGAGAGGAGACUGGAAUUCAUGGUGUAGCAGUGAAAUGCGUAGAGAUCAUGAGGAAGACCAGUGGCGAAGGCGGGUCUCUGGGCUGACACUGACGCUCAUGCACGAAAGCGUGGGGGAGCAAAAGGG